Astatotilapia calliptera (eastern happy) is the source of this 849-nucleotide long non-coding RNA. NCBI's taxonomy places the organism in Eukaryota, Metazoa, Chordata, Actinopteri, Cichliformes, Cichlidae. The record is from Ensembl.
GGUACAGGGAGACUCCUCUGUGUUUGUCUGACAGAAGAACAUCAGCUUCAUCCAUCACAGACUCGAGGCUGGACCGCCUGACUUUAACAGGAAUCUGUAGCCUCAGUGCUCCACGCCAGCAGGUGGCGCCAACGCACCGGUAUCACGCCCUUUCACCUCCGACAGCGAAGAAGAAGUGGUGGAGUAAAAGAAGAAGAAGGGAGCGCAGAGCUGGAGUUAGCAGGGUGUCAUCGAGGUCUGUUGCCAUGGAGGACCAUGCUGACGUUGCCAUGGAGAACAAGACAGAGGUCCCAGCCUCCGACGCCCCGUCCUCUCCUGACAAAGAGCCGGCAAAGCCCGCUGCGCGUCAGCCACACCGCCGCACCUUAGGAAGGCGGGGCCAGAGAGCAAAGAGGCGGGGUCAUAUAGAGAAAAAGCGGGGUCAGAAAUCGAAGAGGCGGGGCCAGGAGGACAAGAAGGAGGGCGUGACGGUGAAGAGGACGUGGAGCGGCGGGAAGCGCCGUUGGGACAAGAAGCAUUACUGCGUGUUCUGCCGACGGCCACAGGUGAAGAUCGCACGCCACCUGCUGAGGAAGCAUGCCGACGAACAGGAAGUACUGGCUGCCAGCACCCUGCCGACAGGCUCCAAAGAACGCCACCUGCUGCUGGAGCACCUGCGCUGCCGAGGCAACUAUCUACACAACAUCGAGAUGCGGUUUAAGUCAACUUUGGUUGGAGAGACAAAACCAUCAAGAAAAGAAGAUCCAAACUAUGCUUCACAUAAACAUCGUCAUGAAUUCCCUCUUUGGGGACUUUGGCUGUUUUGCUGCCACCACGAUAAAAUCCCACUUCAUGCACAGCUCUCUCUCU